RNAcentral lists this long non-coding RNA (259 nucleotides) under Lathyrus oleraceus (garden pea). RNAcentral's name for it is "Pisum sativum (pea) long non-coding RNA (PSAT_LNC028878)". The record is from RNAcentral. Lineage: Eukaryota; Viridiplantae; Streptophyta; Magnoliopsida; Fabales; Fabaceae.
AAAUGGUUGCCACAAUUCCUAAGGUUUGAGACCUUCUAAAGUGCUCUAACCAGAUCAAGCUUCAUCAACUUCUGAUUACCAUUUGGACAAGGUAGUUUUGAGCAUCAUUUGAACUCAAACAAGUCACCACAACGUAGUCCUUGACUCUGAUGCUUUCCCCUAAUUUAUCUGGUGUUGAUUGAUCGUUUUCAUCAUUUAAUUUAAUUUUUCGUGCCUUGUUUGUUUUUGAAACUUCUUUGAAAUUCCCUUUGCUCAAUUU